AGUGAACGCUGGCGGUAGGCCUAACACAUGCAAGUCGAACGGCAGCACAGUAAGAGCUUGCUCUUACGGGUGGCGAGUGGCGGACGGGUGAGGAAUACAUCGGAAUCUACUUUUUCGUGGGGGAUAACGUAGGGAAACUUACGCUAAUACCGCAUACGACCUACGGGUGAAAGCAGGGGAUCUUCGGACCUUGCGCGAUUGAAUGAGCCGAUGUCGGAUUAGCUAGUUGGCGGGGUAAAGGCCCACCAAGGCGACGAUCCGUAGCUGGUCUGAGAGGAUGAUCAGCCACACUGGAACUGAGACACGGUCCAGACUCCUACGGGAGGCAGCAGUGGGGAAUAUUGGACAAUGGGCGCAAGCCUGAUCCAGCCAUACCGCGUGGGUGAAGAAGGCCUUCGGGUUGUAAAGCCCUUUUGUUGGGAAAGAAAAGCAGCAGGUUAAUACCCCGCUGCUCUAACGGUACCCAAAGAAUAAGCACCGGCUAACUUCGUG
RNAcentral lists this ribosomal RNA (492 nucleotides) under uncultured bacterium. RNAcentral's name for it is "partial 16S ribosomal RNA". It matches the Rfam family "Bacterial small subunit ribosomal RNA", at positions 29 to 507 of the family's 1533-position model. The record is from RNAcentral.